RNAcentral lists this ribosomal RNA (327 nucleotides) under Triticum aestivum (bread wheat). RNAcentral's name for it is "partial small subunit ribosomal RNA". The record is from RNAcentral. Lineage: Eukaryota; Viridiplantae; Streptophyta; Magnoliopsida; Poales; Poaceae.
AUGGGUGCCGUUAUUGCUAAACGAUUAAGUCUGAACCGUACAAAGGGCCCCAUUUUUGGAGGUAUCUAUGAUGCACGCCUUGCUAAAUAUUUCGAGAUACCUAUUAGGCAUUAUGAGAAAGAGGAAAAACUGCUACCUCCUACUUUUCUAAAUUAUAGGAGCAUGGUAGCACAUGAGUUUAUUGUUAACAAUGAUGAUAAGAUGCUUCUGUAUAACCUAAGAUUUAAUAAGAAACACAAUGAGACUAUUAUCUUGCCUGCGCCUUCUUUGUUUGAUUUAACUACAUGCUAUUACCUCAUUUCGCUGGAGGCCAUUUACGCGCACUGA